Molecule: long non-coding RNA, 623 nt
Organism: Culex quinquefasciatus (southern house mosquito)
Lineage: Eukaryota; Metazoa; Arthropoda; Insecta; Diptera; Culicidae
Exons: 2
Source: RefSeq, a predicted model, not a curated record
UGUAUCGAUGCCGUUGGGUUCCCAACGUUUAAAAAAAGUUUGCGUGAAAGUUUCCGAAACGAAAAAGCGAAAUCCCGGUCCCGGUGGAGGACCCAAAAAUGGCCUGUCGUCCACUUGUACAACCGGGAUACGUCGACUUGGUUGAUGUCGGAACGGCAAGAUCGGCGAAAUCAUGGUUCACCGCAUCUUUUCGAAGAAUCGACAGCUGGAGAGAUUACUGCGGAGAGUUGCAAAAUGCUUUGGAACUUCGACAGAGCUGCUGGACUGAAAGAAACUUAUACAAUCUGAGCCAAUUUCAUAAAAAAGAUGCUAAAAUCGACCCCAAAGAAAACAUGCAACUCCCAGUUGGAAGAAUCGUUUCCGGAAACGAAACCGCUGGAAAAUUUGUUUCCAAGGACGUUCCUUUCUCUCCGAUGUCGGCAAAGAAAAGACUGAUUGGAUGACGACCGCCAAGGCAAGGUUCCCGGUUUAAGAUCUCUCACCGACGGAAUAGCAACGAAUCACAAGCGCAAAGUUAACGAUUAUCAAAGCCUACUAGAAGCUGAAGUUUUUGAAACCUUCAUCACCGGAAGCCGUAGUAAUUGUUCUAUUAUUUCAAUAAAAUAAACUGUUCGCUCUACAGC